GACGAACGCUGGCGGCGUGCUUAACACAUGCAAGUCGAACGGAAAGGCCUGCUUUCCCUUGUGGAUUGCGGGUACUCGAGUGGCGAACGGGUGAGUAACACGCGAGUGAUCUGCCCCCAACUUGGGUAUAAGCCUGGGAAACUGGGUCUAAUUCCCGAUAGGACUGCAGGGUGGUGCCUGCGGUGGAAAACGAUUUUCUAGUGGUUGGGGAUGAGCUCGCGGCCUAUCAGCUUGUUGGUGGGGUAAUGGCCUACCAAGGCGGCGACGGGUAGCCGGCCUGGGAGAGUGGACGGGCACAUUGGGACUGAGAUACGGCCCAGACGCCUACGGGAGGCAGCAGUGGUGGAUAUUGCACGAUGGGCGGAAGCCUGAUGCAGCGACGCCGCGUGGGGGAUGACGGCCUUCGGGUUGUAAACUCCUUUCGACCGCGAGGAAGCCACCUGGUUGGAAGGGUGGUGACGGUAGUGGUAGAAGAAGCACCGGCUAACUACGU
This 493-nucleotide ribosomal RNA is filed under the name uncultured bacterium. RNAcentral's name for it is "partial 16S ribosomal RNA". It matches the Rfam family "Bacterial small subunit ribosomal RNA", at positions 28 to 506 of the family's 1533-position model. The record is from RNAcentral.